UAUCAGUCAUGCAUAGCAUAUCAAUAAGCGGAGGAAAAGAAACUAACUAGGAUUCCCUUAGUAACGGCGAGUGAAGCGGGAAGAGCUCAAAUUUGAAAUCUUCAAGGUUCUACCUUGACGAAUUGUAGUUUAUAAGAAGUGUUUUCUGUUAGUAGAGUUGGCUAAAAGUUCUUUGGAAUAGGACAUCAUAGAGGGUGAGAAUCCCGUAUUUGUACCAUUCUUUCUAACUUUGUGAUACACUUUCAACGAGUCGGAUUGUUUGGGAAUGCAGUCCAAAAUGGGUGGUAAAUUUCAUCUAAAGCUAAAUAUUGGCGAGAGACCGAUAGCGAACAAGUACCGUGAGGGAAAGAUGAAAAGAACUUUGAAAAGAGAGUUAAACAGUACGUGAAAUUGUCAAAAGGGAAGCGUUUGACACCAGUGUUGUUUUUCCGAAAAUCAAUUACGAAUGUUUUAGUUUUUGAGGAGUUAUGACUUCAUCGGCUUGCUUCUCUCUUUAUGAAACUUUCUUAAUGCACUUUUCGGUUAACAAGUCAACAUCAAUUUCUUUUGUUGUAAAAGGGUAUGAGGAAGGUGGCUUUCUUUUCGGAGAAAGUGUUUAUAGCCUUGUGCCUCUGCAAUCGGAGAGAUUGAGGUCUGCAGCGUAGAUCCUUCGGGGUUAGAUACAGUUUGUGCUAAGUUAUAGCUUUUCAUAGACAACUUGUUGACUAUGUUAGUCUUGUAGCUUACUCGCUGAUGCUAUUUUACCUACGCUUAGGAUGUUGAUCUCUCACAGUCGAGC
This 778-nucleotide ribosomal RNA is filed under the name uncultured Neocallimastigales. RNAcentral's name for it is "partial large subunit ribosomal RNA". It matches the Rfam family "Eukaryotic large subunit ribosomal RNA", at positions 22 to 645 of the family's 3401-position model. The record is from RNAcentral. Lineage: Eukaryota; Fungi; Neocallimastigomycota; Neocallimastigomycetes; Neocallimastigales.